RNAcentral lists this ribosomal RNA (394 nucleotides) under uncultured bacterium. Its description in RNAcentral is "bacterial SSU rRNA". It matches the Rfam family "Bacterial small subunit ribosomal RNA", at positions 28 to 420 of the family's 1533-position model. The record is from RNAcentral.
GACGAACGCUGGCGGCGUGCUUAACACAUGCAAGUCGAACGAUGAACCCGGAGCUUGCUCCGGCGGAUUAGUGGCGAACGGGUGAGUAACACGUGAGUAACCUGCCCUUGACUCUGGGAUAACUGCUAGAAAUGGUAGCUAAUACCGGAUACGACCCUCGGCGGCAUCGCCAGGGGGUGGAAAGAAUUUCGGUCAAGGAUGGACUCGCGGCCUAUCAGCUAGUUGGUGAGGUAACGGCUCACCAAGGCGACGACGGGUAGCCGGCCUGAGAGGGUGACCGGCCACACUGGGACUGAGACACGGCCCAGACUCCUACGGGAGGCAGCAGUGGGGAAUAUUGCACAAUGGGCGCAAGCCUGAUGCAGCAACGCCGCGUGAGGGAUGACGGCCUCGG